UUGCACAUGGGUUAGUCGAUCCU
RNAcentral lists this small RNA (23 nucleotides) under Arabidopsis thaliana (thale cress). RNAcentral describes it as "snRNA_17089". Lineage: Eukaryota; Viridiplantae; Streptophyta; Magnoliopsida; Brassicales; Brassicaceae. The record is from RNAcentral.